UGGUCAAGUUAUUAAGGGUGCAGGGCGGAUGCCUUGGCACUAGGAGCCGAUGAAGGACGUGAUAAGCUGCGAUAAGCUUCGGGGAGUUGCACGUAAACUUUGAUCCGAAGAUUUCCGAAUGAGGAAACUCACUUAGAGUAAUGUCUAAGUAUCAUUAAGUGAAUACAUAGCUUAAUGAGGGGAACUCAGGGAACUGAAACAUCUAAGUACCUGAAGGAAGAGAAAGAAAUUCGAUUCCGUAAGUAGCGGCGAGCGAACGCGGAUUAGCCCAAACCAAUAAAGUUUUCUUUAUUGGGGUUGCGGACAUAUCAUAACGAAGAGGUAUCGUAAUUGAAGAGGUUUGGAAAGACCCACCACAGAAGGUAAUAGUCCUGUAUGUUAAACGAGAAGACUUCAGAUAUGAUCCAGAGUACCACGGGACACGUGAAACCCUGUGGGAAGCAGGAGGGACCACCCUCCAAGGCUAAAUACUACCUAGUGACCGAUAGCGUAUAGUACCGUGAGGGAAAGGUGAAAAGAACCCCGGGAGGGGAGUGAAAUAGAACCUGAAACCCUGCACUUACAAGCUGUGGAAGCACAUUUCUUGUGUGACCGCGUACUUUUUGUAGAACGGGCCAACGAGUUACGUUAAGUAGCAAGGUUAAGCACUUAAGGUGCGGAGCCGUAGCGAAAGCGAGUUUUAACUGAGCGUUCAGUUACUUGACGUAGACCCGAAACCGGGCGACCUACCCAUGAGCAGGAUGAAGCGAAAGUAAAAUUUCGUGGAGGUCCGAACCCACGAGCGUUGAAAAGCUCGGGGAUGACUUGUGGGUAGCGGUGAAAUUCCAAUCGAGCCCGGAGAUAGCUGGUUCUCCCCGAAAUAGCUUUAGGGCUAGCCUCAAGGUGAGAGAUACGGAGGUAGAGCACUGAAUGUCCUAGGGGGUAUUGCACCUACCGAAGACUAUCAAACUCCGAAUGCCGUCAUCUUAUACUUGGGAGUCAGACUGUGGGUGAUAAGAUUCAUAGUCGAAAGGGCAACAGCCCAGAUCGUCAGCUAAGGUCCCUAAAUGUAAGUUAAGUGGUAAAGGAUGUGGGAUUGCACAGACAACCAGGAUGUUGGCUUAGAAGCAGCCACUCAUUCAAAGAGUGCGUAAUAGCUCACUGGUCGAGUGAUCCUGCGCCGAAGAUUUCCGGGGCUAAAACUUACUACCGAAGCUACGGCAUCAGUAAUGAUGGGUAGGGGAGCUUCCCAUACGGGUUGAAGCAUGACCGUAAGGACAUGUGGACAGUAUGGGAGUGAGAAUGUUGGCAUGAGUAGCGAGAUGUGGGUGAGAAUCCCACAGGCCGUAAACCCAAGGUUUCCAGGGGAAGGUUCGUCCGCCCUGGGUUAGUCGGGACCUAAGCUGAGGCCGAAAGGCGUAGGUGAUGGACAACAGGUUGAUAUUCCUGUACUACCGAUAACCGUUUGAGAGAAGGGAUGACACAGUAGGAUAAGCUAAGCACACUGUUGGUUAUGUGUGCCCAAGCAUUGAGGCAGUCAAAGUAGGCAAAUCCGCUUUGAUAAUGCUGGGAUGUGAUGGGGAGCGAAAUUUAGUAGCGAAGUAGCUGAUUUCACACUGUCAAGAAAAGUCUCUAUCGAGGUUAAAGGUACCCGUACCGCAAACCGACACAGGUGGGUGAGGAGAGUAUCCUAAGGCCAGCGAGAGAACUGUUGUUAAGGAACUCGGCAAAAUGACCCCGUAACUUAGGGAUAAGGGGUGCCACCAUCAGGUGGCCGCAGAGAAUAGGCCCAAGCGACUGUUUACCAAAAACAUAGGUUUCUGCUAAGUCGCAAGACGAUGUAUAGGAGCUGACGCCUGCCCGGUGCUGGAAGGUUAAGGGGAUCUGUUAGAGCAAUCGAAGCAGUGAACUUAAGCCCCAGUAAACGGCGGCCGUAACUAUAACGGUCCUAAGGUAGCGAAAUUCCUUGUCGGGUAAGUUCCGACCCGCACGAAAGGCGUAACGAUUUGGGCACUGUCUCAACAACAGACUCGGUGAAAUUGUAAUUCCGGUGAAGAUGCCGGAUACCUGCGACAGGACGGAAAGACCCCAUGGAGCUUUACUGUAGCUUGACAUUGGGUCUUGGUACUACAUGUACAGGAUAGGUGGGAGGCUUUGAAACCAGGACGCCAGUUUUGGCGGAGCCAUCCUUGGGAUACCACCCUUGUAGUACUGGGACUCUAACCAUAGGCCAUGAAUCUGGUCUUGGGACACUGUCAGGUGGGCAGUUUGACUGGGGCGGUCGCCUCCCAAAAGGUAACGGAGGCGCUCAAAGGUUCUCUCAGUACGGUCGGAAAUCGUACGUAGAGUGUAAAGGCAAAAGAGAGCUUGAUUGCAAGACAUACAGGUCGAGCAAGGAUGAAAAUCGGACUUAGUGAUCCGGUGGUUCUGCGUGGAAGGGCCAUCGCUCAACGGAUAAAAGCUACCCUGGGGAUAACAGGCUUAUCUCCCCCAAGAGUCCACAUCGACGGGGAGGUUUGGCACCUCGAUGUCGGCUCAUCACAUCCUGGGGCUGUAGUAGGUCCCAAGGGUUGGGCUGUUCGCCCAUUAAAGUGGUACGCGAGCUGGGUUCAGAACGUCGUGAGACAGUUCGGUCCCUAUCCGUCGCAGGCGUAGGAAAUUUGAGAAGACCUGUCCUUAGUACGAGAGGACCGGGAUGGACGUACCUCUGGUU
Molecule: ribosomal RNA, 2692 nt
Filed under: Clostridium sp. HMSC19B01
Lineage: Bacteria; Bacillati; Bacillota; Clostridia; Eubacteriales; Clostridiaceae
Description: bacterial LSU rRNA
Rfam family: Bacterial large subunit ribosomal RNA
Source: RNAcentral